CUCGGCAACGGAUAUCUCGGCUCUCGCAUCGAUGAAGAACGCAGCGAAAUGCGAUACUUGGUGUGAAUUGCAGAAUCCCGUGAACCAUCGAGUCUUGUGAACGCGAGUUGCGCCCGAAGCCUUCGGGCCGAGGGCACGCCUGCCUGGGCGUCACGCAUAGUGUCGCCCCCCCCAACCCGCCCGCUCC
This 187-nucleotide ribosomal RNA is filed under the name Pachystachys lutea. RNAcentral describes it as "5.8S ribosomal RNA". The stretch from base 1 to 153 matches the Rfam family "5.8S ribosomal RNA". Rfam says of the family: 5.8S ribosomal RNA (5.8S rRNA) is a component of the large subunit of the eukaryotic ribosome. It is transcribed by RNA polymerase I as part of the 45S precursor that also contains 18S and 28S rRNA. The record is from RNAcentral. Lineage: Eukaryota; Viridiplantae; Streptophyta; Magnoliopsida; Lamiales; Acanthaceae.